Long non-coding RNA from Heterocephalus glaber (naked mole-rat), 575 nucleotides. RefSeq lists it as uncharacterized. NCBI's taxonomy places the organism in Eukaryota, Metazoa, Chordata, Mammalia, Rodentia, Bathyergidae. The record is from RefSeq and is a predicted model, not a curated record.
AUGGGUUGGUAAUCUGUGGUGUUAUUUUACUUUCUAACAAAGAAUUCAUCUUGCUUGUCCUCUGGGAACACGGUAUCUUCCUAGGGAAAAAGUCUGCUCUCAGAGAGAAGAGUACUGGUGUUGUAAUGGAGCGGACAAUAUUUAAGCACCUGACCUGGCGAUCUAGAUACAGCCCGUUUCUUCUAUUUGCAAAGCUGAAAGCUCAAGAUAAAACUACCACUGAAUUUCUCAAACCGGUCCUUGUCCCUUGGGCCUCUGUGCCGCACUCCGGAGAUUAUCAGGGCAAGAUAUUCUCCAUAUGUUGGACAUUUUGUCUCAGCAAUGAGAAAAGUAACUGAGACAGAGCCACUCACUAUACCAUCUUGGAAAACCCUGAUUCCCACCUCCGCAUGUCACUGGGUCUGGUCAGCGCUCCCAGGGUACCGUUAGAAAAGCCUUUGAAGACGGAGCUGUUUCAUUCUCCAAGAGGGUGGAGCUUCCUGCUCUGAGUACUUGGAACUUGACCUGUUCCAAAGCUCUGCCAUACAGGCCUUCAGUACUGCAGAUCUGAGACAUAAAGACUACAUAUCACAGAA